RNAcentral lists this ribosomal RNA (520 nucleotides) under Xylophrurus augustus. RNAcentral's name for it is "partial 16S large subunit ribosomal RNA". The stretch from base 390 to 520 matches the Rfam family "Archaeal large subunit ribosomal RNA", at positions 2544 to 2674 of the family's 2987-position model. The record is from RNAcentral. Lineage: Eukaryota; Metazoa; Arthropoda; Insecta; Hymenoptera; Ichneumonidae.
ACAUGUCUUUUAGAUUAUAAUUUAAAGUCAAAUCUGCUCAAUGAAUAUUUUAAAUAGCUGCAGUAUUUUAACUGUACAAAGGUAGCAUAAUCAAUAGUUUCUUAAUUAGAAGCUGGAAUGAAGGAUUCGAUAAAAUAAUUAUUGUCUCAAUUUUAAUAAUAUUAUAAUUUUUAUUUUAGUAAAAAUACUAAAUUGGAUUUAAAAGACGAGAAGACCCUAUAGAUUUUAAUAAUUUUUAUAUUUAUUUAUAUUAAAUUAAUUUUAUAAAUAAAUUUAAAAUUAUUUGAUUGGGGAAAUUUUUAAAUUAAAUAAAUUUUAAUUAAUAAUAAACAAUAAUAAUUGAAUUCUUGAUCUUAAUAUUUUGAAAUAUUAGAAUAAAAUACCUUAGGGAUAACAGCGUAAUUUUUUUAGAAAGAUCUUAUUAAUAAAAAAGUUUGCGACCUCGAUGUUGAAUUAAGAUUAAAUUUUAACGGAGAAGUUAAAAAUUUUAGGUCUGUUCGACCUUUAAAAUCUUACGUGA